GAUGAACGCUGGCGGCGUGCCUAAUACAUGCAAGUCGAGCGGACGGACGAGAAGCUUGCUUCUCUGAUGUUAGCGGCGGACGGGUGAGUAACACGUGGAUAACCUACCUAUAAGACUGGGAUAACUUCGGGAAACCGGAGCUAAUACCGGAUAAUAUUUUGAACCGCAUGGUUCAAAAGUGAAAGACGGUCUUGCUGUCACUUAUAGAUGGAUCCGCGCUGCAUUAGCUAGUUGGUAAGGUAACGGCUUACCAAGGCAACGAUGCAUAGCCGACCUGAGAGAGUGAUCGGCCACACUGGAGCUGAGACACGGUCCAGACUCCUACGGGAGGCAGCAGUAGGGAAUCUGCCGCAAUGGGCGAAAGCCUGACGGAGCAACGCCGCGUGAGUGAUGAAGGUCUUCGGAGCGUAAAACUCUGUUAUUAGGGAAGAACAUAUGUGUAAGGAACUGUGCACAUCGUGACGGUACCUAAUCAGAAAGCCACGGCUAACUACGUG
This 497-nucleotide ribosomal RNA is filed under the name uncultured bacterium. RNAcentral's name for it is "partial 16S ribosomal RNA". It matches the Rfam family "Bacterial small subunit ribosomal RNA", at positions 28 to 507 of the family's 1533-position model. The record is from RNAcentral.